Molecule: ribosomal RNA, 140 nt
Filed under: uncultured Bacteroidota bacterium
Lineage: Bacteria; Pseudomonadati; Bacteroidota
Description: uncultured Bacteroidetes bacterium partial 16S ribosomal RNA
Rfam family: Bacterial small subunit ribosomal RNA
Source: RNAcentral
UCNGGUACUGAGACACGGACCAGACUCCUACGGGAGGCAGCAGUGAGGAAUAUUGCACAAUGGAGGAAACUCUGAUGCAGCCAUGCCGCGUGCAGGAUGACGGCCCUACGGGUUGUAAACUGCUUUUUUACAAGAAGAAA